AUACGGAGGGUGCAAGCGUUAUUCGGAAUCACUGGGCGUAAAGGACGCGUAGGCGGGUUGGCAAGUCAGAUGUGAAAUCCUACAGCUUAACUGUAGAACUGCAUUUGAAACUGCGAACCUAGAGUAUGGGAGGGGGAGAUGGAAUUAGUGGUGUAGGGGUAAAAUCCGUAGAUAUCACUAGGAAUACCGAAAGCGAAGGCGAUCUCCUGGAGCAUAACUGACGCUAAGGCGUGAAAGCGUGGGGAGCAAACAGGAUUAGAUACCCUUGUAGUCC
This 274-nucleotide ribosomal RNA is filed under the name uncultured bacterium. Its description in RNAcentral is "partial 16S ribosomal RNA". It matches the Rfam family "Bacterial small subunit ribosomal RNA", at positions 523 to 796 of the family's 1533-position model. The record is from RNAcentral.